Molecule: long non-coding RNA, 799 nt
Organism: Homo sapiens (human)
Lineage: Eukaryota; Metazoa; Chordata; Mammalia; Primates; Hominidae
Source: Ensembl
AAAAAAAAAAAAAAGUACUCAUAUCUCUUUUUCUGUAACUUUUAAAAUCCACUCCCAAAUACGUCUUGGGGGAACUUCCUAUGUCAGUAUAGCAUGGUAGUCCAUAACUGGAUUCUUCAAUAACAGUAAAUCUAGCUAUUUCCCCCAGCGGAAUGGGAAUUGUGUCCAACAUUUCAAACAUCUGGAAAAGUAUCAUCUAUACGCAGUGUAAUGUUUACAGCGAAUUCUGCCACUGCUCGCUGAUUUUAAACACAUUACCCUGUGUCUCAGUUUUUUAUUUGUAAAUGAUAUUUUACCACCUAAUUUACAGGGCUGUAGUGAGGAUUACAUCGAUUGACAUAUUUAUGGCAAGCUCUCAGAGAGUCUUGUACCUAAUACCAUUAUUUGCUCUGAUCCUUUAGUUUAGGCUCCUAGGAGACUUGAUUCUGGCUGACGUGCUGCGACUGUCAUCUUUCAGAUCAGAGUAACUCUGAGUCUGGUGGGAGUGUCUUCCCCCGACACCCCGUAUACCUCCGCUUUAAGAUGAGAGAAUCUUCUGUCGGUGCUAGCGUUCAGCGGCUAACGGAGGAGGCUUGACUCAACCUGCCGGACACUAAAGGACAUCACUCUGAGCCUGAGGGAGGGGCUCUCCUUUGGUCUCCCUCUUUUGUCCAGCCUUGCCCCAGGAUAUUUUUCUAAGCUGAGUUAGCCACUAGGCACUCCACAUCGCUGCCCGCAUCACCACGCUGCGGCAUCUGCUGUUGCAUCUGCGAUCCACAAGGCCUACACCAUUCGCCAUCGCACCUGGCUGUUUGUUGCA